CACGCGCACGCACACACGCGCACACGGCACAAGCAUUCCUCUCACUCCCUUCCACUAUGCCAAGCUGUUUUGUGCUUUUGAGUCUUUGCUCACACAGAAAAGAAAGUGUGGAAGAUCUCAAAGAUUGUUAAGAGGGAGUGCCUUCUAUGCACUCUCCUCCUCAUCUCUCAACUGCCAAGUGGAUGCUGGGGGCUUCCUUGAAACUAUGAGUUGGAGGUGGUAGAGCCAGAGACUGCAAAGAGGCCUGUACUUUGAGGACAACUUGGAGAACAGUCCAAGCCUAUGCUGUGAGAAAGAAUGAGAGGGAAGGAAGUUGAAUUACAGAUGGUUAACUCCCACCUGUAUGUCCUGUGCUGGUGAAGUGAUACCAGGUGUGCAUCAAGUGUUAUGAGAAUGAGGUGGAAACAAGGGUCUUUGAAUAGAGGUGAGGGGAGCAAAUCUCUACUAAAGUAGACACAGAGAUCAGAAGAAACCAGGUCAAAGCUGCUUCCCACCAAGCUGUGUGGUCCCGGUUCCAGAACUUAUGAAAAUGUUGGAUGAAUGAAUGUGGAGGAGUGAAUAAAGAAGAAUGGAGAAAGGGGGACUAUGGAACUAGCACAAAUAUUCCCAGGGCAGGUAUAAGCAAGGGGAUGAAUCUGGGGCCAAAGUAAAAGACACAGACUUAGGUAAAGGGUGACUCCAGGUAGGGAAAUGAGAAAACCAUCAAGAUUCAGAGGGGAGAUGACCCCAUGCUUAGGGCAGAUUCUGGGCAGCACAGAGGGAGCAAGAGAGGUGGGAUGAUCCUCAUGCAGGGGCCAGAUGUGACUCUGCCUAAGGCUGGUGCUGUUUCCCAUAAGUGGGUGUUUCCAUUCCUGGUCUCUGAAGUGAUGAAAAUCAUGUUCUGAAAACUCACUAAAAGCAAAGCCCCUCUGUUUUUUCCAGCACUAGCUUUUGCCUGAAGUCAUUAUCUAUAAAAGACAGCAUGUGGACAUGAUAAGUUUAAAGGAAUUUUCCAGGUGUAACAUUUUAUUUUUUUUCCUGGCUUGCUUUUUUUUUUUUUUUUUUCCUCAGGCCUUUAUUCUCUGAAUCAUGUAAGCUGGAAAUCUGUCAUUCUUGAUGUUCCCUCUGUCCCAUCACUCUUCCAAAGUUUUAAUGAUAAAUAUUUCUGUUUCCCCUUACUGAUUCCUGUUUUAAUCUCCCUGGUUCAGAAUUAAUCACCUCCUACUUUCUAAGUGGUCUAUCUGGUUCUAGUGCAGUCUUCUCACUUUCCUGGUGUUCGGUUUAUCUUUCAAGUCACCAUCUUGUUCAUCAUCUGAGUGUUAAAACA
Chlorocebus sabaeus (green monkey) is the source of this 1306-nucleotide non-coding RNA. The record is from RefSeq and is a predicted model, not a curated record. Lineage: Eukaryota; Metazoa; Chordata; Mammalia; Primates; Cercopithecidae.